GAUAAAUCAUCGAUAUUUUUUAGUAAAGGCUCCCCUCAAAACCAUAGACAAGAAGUAAAGAAUUCACUCAAUGUGCACAAUAAAUCCCUUAGUGAGAGAUACCUUGGUAUGCCCAUUGGUGCUUGUCAUUCGAUCAAUGGAACUUUUAGAUAUCUACGGGACCAAGUAUGGGAAAGGAUAAGAGGGUGGAUGGAAAAAUUGUUGUCCGUGGCAGGCAAAGAAGUUUUAAUCAAAUCGGUUAUUCGAUUACACUGCAUCCUCAUACCAUUAAUGACAUUUGGUAGGGCUGGCCCGUAA
Molecule: ribosomal RNA, 297 nt
Filed under: Triticum aestivum (bread wheat)
Lineage: Eukaryota; Viridiplantae; Streptophyta; Magnoliopsida; Poales; Poaceae
Description: partial small subunit ribosomal RNA
Source: RNAcentral